RNAcentral lists this ribosomal RNA (477 nucleotides) under Triticum aestivum (bread wheat). Its description in RNAcentral is "partial small subunit ribosomal RNA". Lineage: Eukaryota; Viridiplantae; Streptophyta; Magnoliopsida; Poales; Poaceae. The record is from RNAcentral.
AUGAUACAGAAAGUUAAGGCAACCAUGAUCAAGCUGAGGUACUCCAAGAGGCUGUUCAAGAGGAGCUCUUGGUCGAAGGCGAGUACUGACGGCGGCCAUGGCAAUGCGGCCGGCGGUCUCGGCGGCGGCGGGGAGAUAGAGUGGGAGGUGAGACCGGGAGGGAUGCUGGUGCAGAAGAGGGACGGUGGGCGUGCGGAGGAGGUGAUCAUGGUGAGGGUGUCCACUGGAUUCUCAUGGCAUGAUGUCUCCAUUGGGGCCACACGCACUUUUGGGGAACUGAAGGUGAUGCUGUCCAUGGUGACCGGGCUGGAGCCGAGGGAGCAGAUGUUGUUGUUCAAGAGGAAGGAGAGGGAGGACACUGACCACCUCCACAUGGUUGGGGUGAGGGACAAGGACAAGGUCCUCCUUCUCGAGGACCCUGCCCUCAAGGAUAUGAAGCUCCGCGUGGCGAGAGCGGUCGCGGCACAGGUUGCGUAA